GUUUUGAUAAGGUUGGUAGCCGUUGCUGUUAAAAACAGUUUGUCGCUUGUACGCUAUUUCUUGACUGAAACGCGCGCGAGUGUCCUGCCUCAACACCAGGGCUGUCAACGUCAGCGGCUCGCUUGAUUGCAUGUGUUUUGAUAAGGUUGGUAGCCGUUGCUGUUAAAAACAGUUGGUCGCUUGUACGCUAUUUCUUGACU
This is a long non-coding RNA of Leptidea sinapis, 200 nucleotides long. RefSeq lists it as uncharacterized. The transcript is spliced from 2 exons. Lineage: Eukaryota; Metazoa; Arthropoda; Insecta; Lepidoptera; Pieridae. The record is from RefSeq and is a predicted model, not a curated record.